GUAGGGAAUAUUGGGCAAUGGUCGGAAGACUGACCCAGCCAUGCCGCGUGCAGGAAGACGGCCCUCUGGGUUGUAAACUGCUUUUAUCUGGGAAGAAAAAGGCCAUGCGUGGCAAAUUGCCGGUACCAGAUGAAUAAGCACCGGCUAACUCCGUGCCAGCAGCCGCGGUAAUACGGAGGGUGCGAGCGUUGUCCGGAUUUAUUGGGUUUAAAGGGUGCGUAGGCGGCUAUUAAGUCAGCGGUGAAAGACUUCGGCUUAACCGGAGCAGUGCCGUUGAUACUGGUGGGCUUGAGUGUCGGAGGGGUACAUGGAAUUGAUGGUGUAGCGGUGAAAUGCAUAGAUACCAUCAGGAACACCGAUAGCGAAGGCAUUGUACUGGCCGACAACUGACGCUGAUGCACGAAAGUGUGGGGAUCGAACAGGAUUAGAAACCCUUGUAGUCC
RNAcentral lists this ribosomal RNA (443 nucleotides) under uncultured bacterium. RNAcentral's name for it is "partial 16S ribosomal RNA". It matches the Rfam family "Bacterial small subunit ribosomal RNA", at positions 354 to 796 of the family's 1533-position model. The record is from RNAcentral.